UUUGCAAUGUAUUGCUUUGGAAGAUACCUUGUUGCUUGCUUAGUAAGCAAGGUACAGGAUGUUGUUGAACUUUGGUCUGCAAUGCAACAGGAAACCAACAGCAAACCAGCAUGCAGAGCAGCAUCCAAGUUGAACCAGAGAAGCAGCAGCAUUUUGUUUAUUUUGGUCAUUUGUAACUUGAUUUAGUUUCAAUGUAAUUUAUACUUAAAGUUAGUAGGAGUAGUUGUUGAUUUAUGUUUGAUGUUAUAGCUGGUAUGUCAGCUACAUUUUGUAUGUAAUUCUAGCUAGGCUUUAGUCAUGUAUUAGUGGGAGCAGUGUUACAAUGCUUCUCAAGUCAAUGAAAAAGAUCUGAUUUUUGGAGGUCAAAUUCA
Long non-coding RNA from Gossypium raimondii (Peruvian cotton), 371 nucleotides. RefSeq lists it as uncharacterized. The record is from RefSeq and is a predicted model, not a curated record. The transcript has 2 exons. NCBI's taxonomy places the organism in Eukaryota, Viridiplantae, Streptophyta, Magnoliopsida, Malvales, Malvaceae.